Molecule: ribosomal RNA, 301 nt
Filed under: uncultured bacterium
Lineage: Bacteria
Description: partial 16S ribosomal RNA
Rfam family: Bacterial small subunit ribosomal RNA
Source: RNAcentral
CAGUCGCCGCGGUAAUACGAAGGGUGCAAGCGUUAAUCGGAAUUACUGGGCGUAAAGCGUGCGUAGGCGGUGAGUUAAGUCUGCUGUGAAAUCCCCGGGCUCAACCUGGGAAUGGCAAUGGAUACUGGCAAGCUAGAGUGUGUCAGAGGAUGGUGGAAUUCCCGGUGUAGCGGUGAAAUGCGUAGAGAUCGGGAGGAACAUCAGUGGCGAAGGCGGCCAUCUGGGACAACACUGACGCUGAGGCACGAAAGCGUGGGGAGCAAACAGGAUUAGAUACCCCUGUAGUCCCUGUCUCUUAUAU